ACAAAGUCUAAUAUUUGCAGUACUUCUGAGC
RNAcentral lists this non-coding RNA (31 nucleotides) under Mus musculus (house mouse). The record is from RNAcentral. Lineage: Eukaryota; Metazoa; Chordata; Mammalia; Rodentia; Muridae.